UACGUAGGUGGCAAGCGUUGUCCGGAUUUACUGGGCGUAAAGAGCGCGCAGGCGGUCGUUCAAGUCGCGUGUGAAAGCCCCCGGCUCAACUGGGGAGGGUCACGCGAUACUGAUCGACUGGAAGGCAGGAGAGGGUAGUGGAAUUCCCGGUGUAGCGGUGGAAUGCGUAGAGAUCGGGAAGAACAUCGGUGGCGAAGGCGGUCUGCUGGGCCGUUGCUGACGCUGAGGCGCGACAGCGUGGGGAGCAAACAGG
Molecule: ribosomal RNA, 253 nt
Filed under: uncultured bacterium
Lineage: Bacteria
Description: partial 16S ribosomal RNA
Rfam family: Bacterial small subunit ribosomal RNA
Source: RNAcentral